UAAUGAACAGAGGCCCAGGCAAAUGGUACCCUGGAGAAGUAAAACCCAAGUCCCAAGCAAGCCUCUAAGCACCAAAAUGUGCCCACUGGAGUAGGCUAACCAGACCACAUGGAGGAAGCUGCCAGACUGAGAGUGUUAUAUACCCCGCUAAGGGUCUGAGACCUCAGCUACAUGGAUCAACAUCGUAUAUGCAGUUCAUCACAGACUGAAAUGUCAUUAAGUGGCAAAUGACCGUAAGUAAAUUUGUCCUGUUGAAACAUCACUCCGGCUUCUGUGUGACGGGUGGACUGGGAGAAGCACAGACACUGGUUAAGAGGCAAUUACGAGAGUCUGGGAAAGACAGAAUGAUGGUUUGGACAAGAGUCAUGGCAGUGGAAAUCAGGAAAAGUUCCCGGGAGAUAUUUAUAGAGAUGCAUCAAUACGAUGACCAGCUGUGGACACUAAGGGAGAGGGAGGCACAAGGACUCAUGCUUCUGACAUGAGAAAUUAGAUAGAUGGAAAAGCCAUUUACUCCGAUAUGGUUCAAUGGAGAAGGAGGAGGUUUCAGAGGAGUGGUCAAUGAGCUCAUUUGGAGCACAGUGAAUGUAAUAAGUUUGUACCACUCAUGGGUUUUUGUUGCAAUCAACACAAAACACUCCUGAACAUUUGCCACCUCAACCCUGAAUGCUCAGUUUCUUCAGUUUCAGUGUAAAUAAUUCUUUUUUUUUUGGAGACUCAAGUAUAGUUUUAUUAUCUUUCUACAUAGAAAACCUAGUUUUAGGGUACAUGUGCACCUAUGUGCCACAAAGAUUCAGAGCUCUAGUCUGAGAGUAUGUAAUUGGCUAAGAACUAGAAGAGAUAACAUCUGUGCCCCCUCCCUAAAAUAGAAAGGGUGUUUUAAUGAUGGAGAGUCCACUGAAAGAUCUUUAAGCAAGCCUUGGAAGGAUAUCCAGUGGCUCACGACCAAGCCCUUAGGACUGGUGGAGGAAAAGAAGCCUGCACAGCUCCCAAGAGGAAGUGGUCAUCAGAAAGGCCAGAGAUUCAGGUGCUUAAAUUAUUCAGGCAGGAGGUAGGCAAAGUUCAGGUGAAAACAGUCUGUUGUGGAUGCUACUAGUGGCAUCACCACACCAGGACAUUUGCCACCUCAACCCUGGACCCUCAAUGUCUUCAGUUUCAGUAUAAAUAACCUCUGAUCAUCUCUGCCCCACAAAGACUAGAAGUUCUAGUCUGAGAGCACGUAAUUGGCUGAGAACUAGAAGAGAGGAUAUCUGAGCCCUUUCCCCCAAAUAGAUGGGGGCGGUUUAAUGACAGAGAUCUGCUGAAGGAUCUUGGAACAUCCGGGUAGAAAUGACAAGUAAGCAUUUGACCAGUGCUGAGCUGGAACUCAGAAGAAAGGUCUGGACUAGAGAUAAAACUUUAGGGUCCUCAGCCUGUGUAGGUGGCCUGCAUAAUGUAGGCACAGAUGGCAUCACCCAGGAGGAAAACAUAGAGCAAGGAGAGAGAACAGCUCACAUCCAAGCCCUUAGGUCUGGUGGAGGAAGAGAAGCCUGCACAGCUAGCAAGAGGAAGUGGUCAAGAAAGUAAGAAGAAAACCAGGAGCAUGAAGUUGCAUGCACACCAAGGGAGGGAGUGGGCACCUGCAGUGAACACGGAUGAGAGGCUAAGGGAGAUGGGAACAGGAAGAACUCAGAUCUUGAAAACUAUCGGUGACUUCAGCAAGAACCAUCUUGAUGACAAAGAGCAGAGUUCAUGAUACAGGGGAUUGAAGAGUGAAGACAAGCAGACAAGGACAGGUGACUCCUUGGAAGGUUU
Molecule: long non-coding RNA, 1791 nt
Filed under: Homo sapiens (human)
Lineage: Eukaryota; Metazoa; Chordata; Mammalia; Primates; Hominidae
Description: HSALNT0194394
Source: RNAcentral